This 643-nucleotide ribosomal RNA is filed under the name uncultured bacterium. Its description in RNAcentral is "bacterial SSU rRNA". It matches the Rfam family "Bacterial small subunit ribosomal RNA", at positions 54 to 664 of the family's 1533-position model. The record is from RNAcentral.
CAUGCAAGUCGAACGGGAAGAGAUGAAGAGCUUGCUCUUUAUCGAAUCCAGUGGCAAACGGGUGAGUAACACGUAAACAACCUGCCUUCAGGAUGGGGACAACAGACGGAAACGACUGCUAAUACCGAAUACGUUCCACGGGCCGCAUGACCUGUGGAAGAAAGGGUAGCCUCUACCUGUAAGCUAUCGCCUGAAGAGGGGUUUGCGUCUGAUUAGGCAGUUGGUGAGGUAACGGCUCACCAAACCAACGAUCAGUAGCCGGUCUGAGAGGAUGAACGGCCACACUGGAACUGAGACACGGUCCAGACUCCUACGGGAGGCAGCAGUGGGGAAUCUUCCGCAAUGGACGAAAGUCUGACGGAGCAACGCCGCGUGAGUGAAGACGGCCUUCGGGUUGUAAAGCUCUGUGAUCCGGGACGAAAGAGCCUGAGGUAAAUAGCCUGAGGAAGUGACGGUACCGGAAAAGCAAGCCACGGCUAACUACGUGCCAGCAGCCGCGGUAAUACGUAGGUGGCAAGCGUUGUCCGGAAUUAUUGGGCGUAAAGCGCGCGCAGGCGGCUUACUAAGUCCAUCUUAAAAGUGCGGGGCUUAACCCCGUGAUGGGAUGGAAACUGGAAAGCUGGAGUAUCGGAGAGGAAAGUGG